CUAAAAACAAGAAGUUAUACACCAAGGACCUGUCUGGUUACAACCUGUUCUGCAGGGAUCAGUUAAAGAACAAGGACCCCGGGAGGAAAAUUAGGACACCAACUGUGGAAGACAUUUUGAAUGCAAUGUGUGCAAAUGAUGAGCGGAGCGUAACAGAGACUAUGGGUUUGACGGAAGUGC
This is a long non-coding RNA of Xiphophorus maculatus (southern platyfish), 180 nucleotides long. RefSeq lists it as uncharacterized. Lineage: Eukaryota; Metazoa; Chordata; Actinopteri; Cyprinodontiformes; Poeciliidae. The record is from RefSeq and is a predicted model, not a curated record. The transcript is spliced from 3 exons.